This is a long non-coding RNA of Calidris pugnax (ruff), 3376 nucleotides long. RefSeq lists it as uncharacterized. NCBI's taxonomy places the organism in Eukaryota, Metazoa, Chordata, Aves, Charadriiformes, Scolopacidae. The record is from RefSeq and is a predicted model, not a curated record. The transcript has 3 exons.
UGUGUUGCCUAGGGGGUGAGGACCUGCCACCUCACGGAGCGGGACCUGCAAGCUGGCAGCCGGGGCCCGAAACUGUACCCCCUGAGGCGGCCCCGGGUUACCGCUCCCUCCCUUGGCGAGGCUCCGUCCCGUUGGCUCGGCAGCCCGGGACUGGGUUUCAAAGGGGGGCUAGUUAACGCAGGCCCGGGGCUGGUGGCCCUGGGAGGCAGGUGGCUCAGGUGAGUCGGGGUGUGGAGUGGCAGGUGGCUAGAAAAACCGUGCGGGGACAGAGGUAGCGCAGUGUCGCUUUCGGGUUGCUGUGCAGUCACCUCUUCCCAGGGCUGGACAUUCGUCUGCAGGGACUUCCCCAGGAAGGGACAGUCUCCACACUUAAUUAUUUCCAGAGGAUCUUCUCCACAAACGUGUCUGGUUGCCCCUCCAGACCAUGGAAAGUUUUAGCAUGCACAAGGCACAUAGUCAGUCAUCAAAGAUAUUUCUGGCCUGGUUGUAUGCUGUAUGAAGAAAUGUGAAGAAACACAUUUUCUUUAAAACCUGCCCGCUGCUAAUUUCAUUUUAUGACGCUUUGUUCUUGAGAGAGACUAUGGCCACUCAUGGUAUCUCUGCUACUUGCUUUAUGGAUCUCUUUCUUACUACUCCUUGAGACCUUUUUGUAUGCCAAAUAGUCCUUGACCACUUCAGUUAUUCUUUGUUAGUCUUCAUUAGCUUAUCUCACCUUUUCCAGCUGUAGCCUUUCUGAAAUAGCAGUGAUUGGUAUGUGUGCGUAGUAUGAGUUUACAAAGCAGCUUAUGUAUUACCUGUUUUGUGCUCCGUUCAUCUGUGAAUGUUUCUUAACCUCCUGUUUGCUUUAUGAGACCAUCCCAGAGCCUUGAGCUGAUGUUGGUGAGGAUGCUGAAGAGGAUCAAAGGUGUACCACGGUCUUGAAAGACAAGAAGAUAGUAUAAUCUCCAGGAUGGAAUUGUUCUUCAUGUGCUAUUUAAGAGAAGCCAGGGUUGUCACCCUGAACAGCUGGCGUGGCUCUGCCUCGCUUGAAAGACUGCAGAAGUGCCAAAAGGGAAAAGCUGCUUUUGAGAUAUUGUCAUUUUAGCACACGUGACUUGAAGGUCUUCUCCUGGGAGCUGACCUAGUGCUGGGGAGUCUAAAACAGAUUAAGAUAUGGCCUGUUCUUAAAUUAUUUCCUCUGCAACUCCAUUGGAAAUGAUGAAGCUAUCUGAUAAGGGUCCAAUUAGUACUUCAACUGUAUUCAGCUCUAUAUAAAGAAUACAGUCUCUCCUCUGAGCAUAUGGAGUUGUGACAGAUCCCAGCAUGACUAAAAAUACAAAUGGGAAGUGAAAAGGUAAAAAUAACAGUAAAGACAAUUUUAUUUGCAUGAAUUGGUUGUAAUAGUCCUGACAGUCAUACUGCAGUAAGCACAAUCUAUAUUCUAGCCUCAAAUUACUGACACUUCACAGGUACUUGUUUUAUUUCAAGCUUCUGUAAGUUUUUAAGAUCCCAUGGAGAUUCAAAACCAGUUCACUGCUGAAUACCUUUAAAAUAAAGGAACCUUUCUCUCCAUGUAUAGUUUCAGAUUUUCACAUCAUGCAAAUGUAAAAUUUUUGUGGUGAACAGCAUGGGGCCGUUUAGACACAGUAAUCAUGUAAUCAGAAGCUGCCACUUGCUAUGAAGCUUUGGUUUCAUAAAUAAAAUGCCCAUUAAAAAUUCUGUGGCCUUUAAAUGCAAGCUAUUGAAAAGAGAAAAGCAUAAUACUGAUAUUAAUAAAAGCUCUUUCAGUCUUUCACCAAUUAAUAUACAAAUUUGAGUGCUGGAGGCUUAACGUGGCCAUUGGUUAAUUCAGCUAAUCUAUUAGUACAAAUUAUUUAGCAAAAUGUCCUUUGUGUCCAUAAUGAAGUCCAGAGAUAGGGCUGAUGAAAAUAGGUAGAUAAAGGUUAAUACAGCUAUAGAGAGAGAAUUUUGAUUUCUUAAUACAGAUGAGACAGAGGACGUAACAGAACAGUGAAUGAAAGAAUUGUGAACAACCGAAUGGGUGCUCUAGCUUGAAUUCUGCUCAAUUUCCAGCUGUAUUCAAAAGCAAAUAAAUUGAGGUUAAAUAAGGGAUACAACUUUUGUUUCACAUUUAUUUUCGAGAAAUAUAUACCAGAAGUAUAAAUCAAACUUUGAGUAGCUUAAUGUGUCUUGCUUACUUUGCACUAAAGAUGAGUUUUAGAUUUUUAAAUGGUUUAGGGCUUAAGCAAAUGCCUAAUUUGCUGAGUGAAAAGUUUUCCCUCUGCAGAGUGAUUUUAAACUAUGGGUUUUAUCACUUUCUUCUGAUUUUUCAAAAUCACAUUUCUGUUUAUAUUAUAUUAUAAAGCCAUCAGAAUAUGACAAACAUUUGCUUGAAUUAUAUAAAGGGAAAUGCAGAGCUGUUUCUGAAAAUUUUUAGGUUCAGAUUAUAUUACCAUCUAGGGUAAUUGUCAUUGAAAAAGAGGAACCUUUGAGAUAAUUUGUCUCAAGAAAACUACUAAUAAAAUUAAAGUAAAUACAGAGGAUGAUAUUUCAAGGAAUGGGUGUUCCUCCCCAUCUUUUUCUAUUUUCUAAGUAUUUUUUCUGCAAAUCAUAAAAUGAGUAUGUCAAGAACUAGCUUCCAUAAACUAUCUUUUUAGCCUGUAUGGUUAAGUAUUAGCAUUCUGACAAGGUAGUCUUUCAAAUAUUUUAGAUUCUGAAGAUACCUGCGUUUUCCCUGGUGUAUUAGUCUGGAUCACAAUGUUCUUCUUUUGCAUAGACAUAUUGUACUCCAGUAACACCAUAAUAAACUAUUCAUUGUAUGAGCAUCUACUUGUACCAGAAUUAUUGGACUAAACCUUGUCAUACUUUUAUCUUUGACUUAAAUUUCCCUUCUUUUUUUUUUUUUUUAUAAGAGUCAAAUUUUACUAGACAUUCUGCAUAGUUAAGUGUACUGAUCCUGACCUCUUUUCUCAAUCUUUACAAUGAGUUUACAAUACCUUGUAGUUUUUGGUUUUUUUUUAAAUUCCAAACAAGGAUUUAAUAAAUUUCUUGGAUAGCAGCAUGAUAUGCUUUUCACUUUCUAUGAGCAAUCUCUGUGCAAAAUUAUAUGCAGUAACUAUACCUCUGUGAUGGUUAUGACUCCCUGAGUGUAAUCUUUUAAUAUUUUAAUGUCUUUGAUUUCAUUGCUUUUUUGUACAACAGAAGAAUUUGUACAAUGUAUGAACUAUAUCCCACUCGUUCUUUCCCAAUCUACACUAUUUUUCAUUUUUGCUGAGUGCCCCUUCAAGUGCUGUAGACUCUGCAAAUACUGAUCCUUCCGUCUUAUUCAUAUGCAUAGGAAACAAUAUAUGUUCAGAUUGAUUCUUUCAGUGUACUGUGUCACUUUUCACAGUGUAAA